Molecule: unclassified non-coding RNA, 227 nt
Filed under: plant metagenome
Description: partial contains small subunit ribosomal RNA, internal transcribed spacer 1, and 5.8S ribosomal RNA
Source: RNAcentral
UUUCCGUAGGUGAACCUGCGGAAGGAUCAUUAAAGAAUUUGCCCCGUCCUCUCGAGGAUGGGUCCUCUUCUAAACCGUGUAUACAUACCUUUGUUGCUUUGGCGGGCCGCCGUCUCGGCGUUGGCUUCGGCUGACUGUGCCCGCCAGAGAACCCCAACUCUUCUGUUUAGUGUUGUCUGAGUACUAUAUAAUAGUUAAAACUUUCAACAACGGAUCUCUUGGUUCUG